GACGAACGCUGGCGGCGUGCUUAACACAUGCAAGUCGAACGGAAAGGCCCUGCUUUUGUGGGGUGCUCGAGUGGCGAACGGGUGAGUAACACGUGAGUAACCUGCCCUUGACUUUGGGAUAACUUCAGGAAACUGGGGCUAAUACCGGAUAUGAGCUCCUGCUGCAUGGUGGGGGUUGGAAAGUUUCGGCGGUUGGUGAUGGACUCGCGGCUUAUCAGCUUGUUGGUGGGGUAGUGGCUUACCAAGGCUUUGACGGGUAGCCGGCCUGAGAGGGUGACCGGCCACAUUGGGACUGAGAUACGGCCAAGACUCCUACGGGAGGCAGCAGUGGGGAAUAUUGAACAAUGGGGGGAAGCCAGAUGCAGCAACGCCGCGUGCGGGAUGACGGCCGUCGGGUUGUAAACCGCGUUCGCCUGUGACGAAGCGUGAGUGACGGUAAAGGGUAAAGAAGCACCGGCUAACUACGUG
Molecule: ribosomal RNA, 468 nt
Filed under: uncultured bacterium
Lineage: Bacteria
Description: partial 16S ribosomal RNA
Rfam family: Bacterial small subunit ribosomal RNA
Source: RNAcentral